RNAcentral lists this ribosomal RNA (1346 nucleotides) under uncultured bacterium. RNAcentral describes it as "partial 16S ribosomal RNA". It matches the Rfam family "Bacterial small subunit ribosomal RNA", at positions 28 to 1381 of the family's 1533-position model. The record is from RNAcentral.
GACGAACGCUGUCGGCGUGCUUAACACAUGCAAGUCGAACGGAAAGGCCCUGCUUUUGUGGGGUGCUCGAGUGGCGAACGGGUGAGCAACACGUGAGUAACCUGCCCUUGACUUUGGGAUAACUUCAGGAAACUGGGGCUAAUACCGGAUAGGAGCUCCUGCUGCAUGGUGGGGGUUGGAAAGUUUCGGCGGUUGGGGAUGGACUCGCGGCUUAUCAGCUUGUUGGUGGGGUAGUGGCUUACCAAGGCUUUGACGGGUAGCCGGCCUGAGAGGGUGACCGGCCACAUUGGGACUGAGAUACGGCCCAGACUCCUACGGGAGGCAGCAGUGGGGAAUAUUGCACAAUGGGCGGAAGCCUGAUGCAGCAACGCCGCGUGCGGGAUGACGGCCUUCGGGUUGUAAACCGCUUUCGCCUGUGACGAAGCGUGAGUGACGGUAAUGGGUAAAGAAGCACCGGCUAACUACGUGCCAGCAGCCGCGGUGAUACGUAGGGUGCGAGCGUUGUCCGGAUUUAUUGGGCGUAAAGGGCUCGUAGGUGGUUGAUCGCGUCGGAAGUGUAAUCUUGGGGCUUAACCCUGAGCGUGCUUUCGAUACGGGUUGACUUGAGGAAGGUAGGGGAGAAUGGAAUUCCUGGUGGAGCGGUGGAAUGCGCAGAUAUCAGGAGGAACACCAGUGGCGAAGGCGGUUCUCUGGGCCUUUCCUGACGCUGAGGAGCGAAAGCGUGGGGAGCGAACAGGCUUAGAUACCCUGGUAGUCCACGCUGUAAACGGUGGGUACUAGGUGUGGGGUCCAUUCCACGGGUUCCGUGCCGUAGCUAACGCUUUAAGUACCCCGCCUGGGGAGUACGGCCGCAAGGCUAAAACUCAAAGGAAUUGACGGGGCCCCGCACAAGCGGCGGAGCAUGCGGAUUAAUUCGAUGCAACGCGUAGAACCUUACCUGGGUUUGACAUGGAUCGGGAGUGCUCAGAGAUGGGUGUGCCUCUUUUGGGGUCGGUUCACAGGUGGUGCAUGCCUGUCGUCAGCUCGUGUCGUGAGAUGUUGGGUUAAGUCCCGCAACGAGCGCAACCCUUGUUCACUGUUGCCAGCACGUUAUGGUGGGGACUCAGUGGAGACCGCCGGGGUCAACUCGGAGGAAGGUGGGGAUGACGUCAAGUCAUCAUGCCCCUUAUGUCCAGGGCUUCACGCAUGCUACAAUGGCUGGUACAGAGAGUGGCGAGCCUGUGAGGGUGAGCGAAUCUCGGAAAGCCGGUCUCAGUUCGGAUUGGGGUCUGCAACUCGACCUCAUGAAGUCGGAGUCGCUAGUAAUCGCAGAUCAGCAACGCUGCGGUGAAUACGUUCCCGGGGCU